Gavialis gangeticus (Gharial) is the source of this 134-nucleotide long non-coding RNA. RefSeq lists it as uncharacterized. The transcript is spliced from 3 exons. The record is from RefSeq and is a predicted model, not a curated record. NCBI's taxonomy places the organism in Eukaryota, Metazoa, Chordata, Crocodylia, Gavialidae.
GGAGGGCAAGGGGAAGGACUUCCAGUGGCAAAGGUUAGGGGUUAAGGGGCAGGACAUCAAGUCCCAAUAUGGCAAUCAGGGGCGGGGCAACUGUCAAGGGGUGGGGCUACCCAUGUCGACCUUGACAGCUCACC